AUGAACUGCAGUGUAGCCAUGCCAGCCUGCCUUAGAGCCAACUGAGUGUGGACUGAAACCUCCAAAAACUGUAAGAAAUAAACCUUUCCUUUUUCAACUUGGACUUGAGGUAUUUCGUCUCAGCAAUGAGUAAAAAGACAUCUUCAGGAAUGGUCACCUAACCUAACAAUCAUUAGGCUAUUCUGCCAACAAAAUCCAUUGUAGCAGCUCUCUUUUUCCUACAUUCAUUUCAGAAAGAAUCACUUAUUUUGGAAGAAUCCAAGUGAUCAUAUAAAGUUAUCUGCAGCUAUUUUGAAGACAUCAAAAGACAUUA
Cavia porcellus (domestic guinea pig) is the source of this 313-nucleotide long non-coding RNA. RefSeq lists it as uncharacterized. NCBI's taxonomy places the organism in Eukaryota, Metazoa, Chordata, Mammalia, Rodentia, Caviidae. The transcript has 3 exons. The record is from RefSeq and is a predicted model, not a curated record.